CUCUAUUACGGGCCCUAGUACACUUCAGGAACUCAAAAGCUUUGCUGAUAUAAUGCAAGGUGAUAAAAAAGUAGAAAGACUUGGGAUAAUCUUGAUUUCUGAAGGCAUCAAACGGGAAUUAGAGAAAGCAGCAGGAAAAACGAAGGCCUUUUUAAGUUCCAUGAGAACUACGGUUUGCAAGACUGGUCAAAACAGUACAAUGCAAGCGGCAAGAAUCAGGAAGUGCACAGAAACAAGAAGCUCGGUGCACACUGGGAUCAGGCAAGCAUCUGGGAGAAGACUGUAGCAAGACUGGAUCCUGAGGUGUUCAGGGCAGAGCUGAAAGUAGGAGAUGGAAUCAUAUCAUAAGUCCCAAACCGGGAGAUGACCUACAGAAUAUGUGAAAAGCUUGUGAACAAUACCAGAGAGAAAAGGAUAGUGAAGUCAAAGUCCAACUUCUGCUGGGUCCCUGAAAGAAACCUCACAUUCAGGACGGCAAAAAAUAUCUUCCUUAAUUUCCCUCAACUGAGAGCAAACCUGUGUGGAAUAUUUUGCCUUGAGGAAGCAAAGAUGGGGAAGAAGACAGCAUCCUGUGGAAAGUUACAGUUGGUUUGCCUCUUUCUUUCAAACUUUCAUAUAUUCUGUUAGUAUUCUAAUCUAAAUACCAGGAGAAUUUUGAGCAGGAAAGUAGAGGAGAAUGACUGAAAAUUAAAGAACAAGACAAGCUUUAUUUUUUUGAGAGGAGGAGAUAUGGACAAGUGAGGGAUAGGCAUGUAAAUAAGUAAACAUGUCACUGAAGAUGGAUGGAGCAUUACGCCUGACAUGUGGCCAGAUCCCAGAAGAUGAGUUUAGCAAAGCACUUUGGGCAUGUAUGUCAUUACAGGAAUGAAAAAAAGAUGAUGGCCAAAUGCUGUAUUAAAAUCCCAUUAGAAAUGCCGGGAGAAAUUUAUGGCCCCAAUCUCUUUUAUCUGACAGGAGUUCCCAUGUGAUCCAUCAGGCUCUGAACAUGAAUUUUAAUGGGCUCAGAACCACUUCUCUACCCUGAGGUCACAGGCUGUCAGAGUGAAUCUUCCACAAACUGAUUGGAACCUGAAGAAUUUGCUCUGUCAAGAGAGGAAAAAAGGCAUAAACCUUAGGUGGUAUGGAGAAUGAGGAAAGGGGAGGAGAAGGAGAAAUCCAAAAGAUAGGUGGAAAACCAUGGGAGCAAAUCGAGAGCUUCCAAUUAAAAGGAAGAAGGAAGAACAGGACAUAUUUUCUGUAAGAACAAAAAAUGCCACAUGGUGCUUACCCUACCUGGCUGAUUUCGAUUAUUACAUCGCAAGACAAUGCAUCGCUCCAGCAAGGAUAACAAAGCGAAUGGGAAGGAAAGGGUUAUGAAGAGUUCAUGGAAGGCACCUUAGGCAGACUACUUUUAGGAAAGAGUGGAUGUGGAAGCUAAGUAUCUGGAAAUUGAUUUCCUUAGAACAGUUUGUGUUUGCAUGUCUUCUGAAAGGUUUUAUGUACUCCCAAGAGUGAAGCAGCAAGUCUUGCUUAAGCAAAGCUGGUGAAAUCAGAGCCUGGUCCAAGGCUCAGAAGCGUUUGCGGGGAAAAGCAAACACUUUUUGUGGGAGAAGGAAACAAAGGAGAAGAGAGGAGGAGGAAGAAAUUGAAAAAGAAGGGGAAGAGAAGAGGAAAAGAAAAAGAGACGUUGAGAGAAAGAAAAACAGAGAGCUGUGUGUGAGUGUUUCAAUUGAAUAUUGCAACUGAAGACAUUCACUCUGCGUUGAUCACCUAUGGAGUGAUCAAAUUUCAACCCUUUGAAGUUUCCUAAAUGAAAGAGGCACUCUGAAUUCAAAGGCUGUUUGAAUGAACUGACUGCUUCAGCACUGUCUUGUAGAUAUAGUCCAUUCAAAUAAAAGACAAAUAUCUGACUGAAUUUUGUUAGCACGUUAAGACAUGUAUUAUAAAAAGGUUUAAGAAGAAAAUAAUGGCCACAAUUCUUCAGAAAACAUGUGAACUAAUGUGACAAAACACUGUGGUGUUGCAAACUCAAGGUAGCUGCUCUGGCCAAGUCACCUCGCUGAAAUCUCCACUUCCACUUGUGCAAUUUAAAAGUGAGAGAAAAUAGAAGAGGAGAAAAGAGAAAAAAAGAAGAAAACAAUGAAAAUAAAGAAGGAAAGCAAUAGCAACAGAAAGGCUAGUGCUCAGGUGGAGGCUGCUGAGGAAUUUCUUAUAUGGACAUUGCUACAGUGUGAAUAUGAUGUGUCCUCACCAAAUGUCAUGUUGAGGCUUGGCCCCCAAUGUCAGUAGAGGAAAAUGUAGCAUAAUAAAAUAAUAAAGAAAAGGUUAACUAUUUUGGGUAGUAAUACAGGCUUUCAUGAAUGUAGAAUGGAAUUUUCCAGAGGCUACAUCACGUGCAACACUGUGCCAGACCAAAAGCAGAAGCAGAUAGGAA
RNAcentral lists this long non-coding RNA (2413 nucleotides) under Homo sapiens (human). RNAcentral's name for it is "long non-coding RNA NONHSAT150031.1". The record is from RNAcentral. Lineage: Eukaryota; Metazoa; Chordata; Mammalia; Primates; Hominidae.